GCGUGCCUAAUACAUGCAAGUCGAGCGAACAGACGAGGAGCUUGCUCCUCUGACGUUAGCGGCGGACGGGUGAGUAACACGUGGAUAACCUACCUAUAAGACUGGGAUAACUUCGGGAAACCGGAGCUAAUACCGGAUAAUAUAUUGAACCGCAUGGUUCAAUAGUGAAAGACGGUUUUGCUGUCACUUAUAGAUGGAUCCGCGCCGCAUUAGCUAGUUGGUAAGGUAACGGCUUACCAAGGCAACGAUGCGUAGCCGACCUGAGAGGGUGAUCGGCCACGCUGGAACUGAGACACGGUCCAGACUCCUACAGGAGGCAGCAGUAGGGAAUCUUCCGCAAUGGGCGAAAGCUUGACGGAGCAACGCCGCGUGAGUGAUGAACGUCUUCGGAUCGUAGAACUCUGUUAUUAGGGAAGAACAGAUGUGUAAGUUACUAUGCACGUCUUGACGGUACCUAAUCAGAAAGCCACGGCUAACUACGUGCCAGCAGCCGCGGUAAUACGUAGGUGGCAAGCGUUAUCCGGAAUUAUUGGGCGUAAAGCGCGCGUAGGCGGUUUUUUAAGUCUGAUGUGAAAGCCCACGGCUCAACCGUGGAGGGUCAUUGGAAACUGGAAAACUUGAGUGCAGAAGGGGAAAGUGGAAUUCCGUGUGUAGCGGUGAAAUGCGCAGAGAUAUGGAGGAACACCAGUGGCGAAGGCGAC
This 701-nucleotide ribosomal RNA is filed under the name uncultured Staphylococcus sp. RNAcentral describes it as "bacterial SSU rRNA". It matches the Rfam family "Bacterial small subunit ribosomal RNA", at positions 42 to 725 of the family's 1533-position model. The record is from RNAcentral. Lineage: Bacteria; Bacillati; Bacillota; Bacilli; Caryophanales; Staphylococcaceae.